This 1484-nucleotide ribosomal RNA is filed under the name Escherichia coli. RNAcentral describes it as "partial 23S ribosomal RNA". It matches the Rfam family "Bacterial large subunit ribosomal RNA", at positions 1466 to 2925 of the family's 2925-position model. The record is from RNAcentral. RNAcentral also lists the same sequence under 2 other names. Lineage: Bacteria; Pseudomonadati; Pseudomonadota; Gammaproteobacteria; Enterobacterales; Enterobacteriaceae.
GGGGGGACGGAGAAGGCUAUGUUGGCCGGGCGACGGUUGUCCCGGUUUAAGCGUGUAGGCUGGUUUUCCAGGCAAAUCCGGAAAAUCAAGGCUGAGGCGUGAUGACGAGGCACUACGGUGCUGAAGCAACAAAUGCCCUGCUUCCAGGAAAAGCCUCUAAGCAUCAGGUAACAUCAAAUCGUACCCCAAACCGACACAGGUGGUCAGGUAGAGAAUACCAAGGCGCUUGAGAGAACUCGGGUGAAGGAACUAGGCAAAAUGGUGCCGUAACUUCGGGAGAAGGCACGCUGAUAUGUAGGUGAAGUCCCUUGCGGAUGGAGCUGAAAUCAGUCGAAGAUACCAGCUGGCUGCAACUGUUUAUUAAAAACACAGCACUGUGCAAACACGAAAGUGGACGUAUACGGUGUGACGCCUGCCCGGUGCCGGAAGGUUAAUUGAUGGGGUCAGCGCAAGCGAAGCUCUUGAUCGAAGCCCCGGUAAACGGCGGCCGUAACUAUAACGGUCCUAAGGUAGCGAAAUUCCUUGUCGGGUAAGUUCCGACCUGCACGAAUGGCGUAAUGAUGGCCAGGCUGUCUCCACCCGAGACUCAGUGAAAUUGAACUCGCUGUGAAGAUGCAGUGUACCCGCGGCAAGACGGAAAGACCCCGUGAACCUUUACUAUAGCUUGACACUGAACAUUGAGCCUUGAUGUGUAGGAUAGGUGGGAGGCUUUGAAGUGUGGACGCCAGUCUGCAUGGAGCCGGCCUUGAAAUACCACCCUUUAAUGUUUGAUGUUCUAACGUGGACCCGUGAUCCGGGUUGCGGACAGUGUCUGGUGGGUAGUUUGACUGGGGCGGUCUCCUCCUAAAGAGUAACGGAGGAGCACGAAGGUUGGCUAAUCCUGGUCGGACAUCAGGAGGUUAGUGCAAUGGCAUAAGCCAGCUUGACUGCGAGCGUGACGGCGCGAGCAGGUGCGAAAGCAGGUCAUAGUGAUCCGGUGGUUCUGAAUGGAAGGGCCAUCGCUCAACGGAUAAAAGGUACUCCGGGGAUAACAGGCUGAUACCGCCCAAGAGUUCAUAUCGACGGCGGUGUUUGGCACCUCGAUGUCGGCUCAUCACAUCCUGGGGCUGAAGUAGGUCCCAAGGGUAUGGCUGUUCGCCAUUUAAAGUGGUACGCGAGCUGGGUUUAGAACGUCGUGAGACAGUUCGGUCCCUAUCUGCCGUGGGCGCUGGAGAACUGAGGGGGGCUGCUCCUAGUACGAGAGGACCGGAGUGGACGCAUCACUGGUGUUCGGGUUGUCAUGCCAAUGGCACUGCCCGGUAGCUAAAUGCGGAAGAGAUAAGUGCUGAAAGCAUCUAAGCACGAAACUUGCCCCGAGAUGAGUUCUCCCUGACCCUUUAAGGGUCCUGAAGGAACGUUGAAGACGACGACGUUGAUAGGCCGGGUGUGUAAGCGCAGCGAUGCGUUGAGCUAACCGGUACUAAUGAACCGUGAGGCUUAACCUU